CGGGGCCGCAGCGCGCGCCUGGUGCACGGUUGUCCGGUACGGCUGUGCGGGCCGGUGCUGAAAGGUGAGAAGGGCCCCGUAGUGAAAACGGUCAGAAGUUAACAGGGAGAAAGACUGCGAGCCUUCGCGAGGAAGAUGAGGAUUCUUCAGCCCACGGCCGCCAGGAAGACCCUCACCACUCACUGCGCACGCGCGAGCGGGGGCCACAUGCUGAUGGGCUCAGAAUGAUAUGAAUGUGAUCUGAAUUCCUGGGAACUCCUGAUCACGUAUUACUUCGGCCUCUACCUGGAGCACGCUUUCUCCUGACGCUGUGCGACUUAGGAGCAGCUCUCCCCCUUGCACCCAGCAUUGCAGCCCUGAUUAAACGUACCUGCUUUUGUAAUA
Molecule: long non-coding RNA, 384 nt
Organism: Tympanuchus pallidicinctus (lesser prairie-chicken)
Lineage: Eukaryota; Metazoa; Chordata; Aves; Galliformes; Phasianidae
Exons: 2
Source: RefSeq, a predicted model, not a curated record